Molecule: long non-coding RNA, 1556 nt
Organism: Echinops telfairi (small Madagascar hedgehog)
Lineage: Eukaryota; Metazoa; Chordata; Mammalia; Afrosoricida; Tenrecidae
Exons: 3
Source: RefSeq, a predicted model, not a curated record
CAGAGUCAGAAUGUUAAAAUCAUUCAUGAUCUAAACAACAAUGAUGUUUUUGAAAUUAUAUUAUGCAAUAUUAUUUAGAAACCUCAAAUAGUUUUAUGGGUUGUAUAAUGAGCAAAAGAAAAAAUCCAGCAUUUUAAAUAUUUUAAGAUUAGAAUGGAAGACAAAGUAUUUGGUGUGAUACUGCUAUUGGGUCUGAAAAGAAUAACACACGUAUUCUGAAAUUAUUCAGCAAGCUGAAGAAUUGUGGAAUGUCAGUGUGGAGGAGACUUAAAACUUUUUCAUUUUAGGACAAGAAAAGGGAAAAUAUAACAUGGAAAUACAAAAGUUAUGCCCGUGGCUAGCCUACCUUUAUGAGCAGUUUCUGUAUCUGUUAACAUUUGACUCUCAAAUUUCCCAGCUGCCAAUUAGCCUGGAGCCUGUUCUGCACCACAGCUGCGAGGGGUCUGGCACACAAGCUCUGCACCCUAUGCUGUGCCAUAGCCUCACUACUUUAGCUGUAAGAAUAAGAAGCUUCUAGCUGGAAUGGACGGACUUGAAGUUAGUGGCUAUGUGUAUUGACAGAUGCUGCAUCCAGACCAUGUGGAGCCCUACUAGAGGCCAUUGAUCAGUUUUCGUUGCCAUUCCCUUGGCUGGAAAGAUGAGCCAUCUCAGAAGCAGAAAUACAGAGAAUCUCAGGACCAGCAAGGAAGAAGAGCCAGCAGUGAAGCACAUUGGAGAUCUCCGAAGUGGCAGAGGCUGAGCUCAGAGGAGGCUGUGUGGCCCAGAGACCAUGGGACAGAGCAAAGGAGCCAGGCCUUGCCCGGAGGCAGAGGCAAGAAUACUGUGGGACAGAACAGAGGAGCAGUGCAGAGAUUGUGAGACAGAGGAUUGGAUAGACUUCCAGGCCCAGGGAGGCAGAGAUCAAGGGAAUUUAUAGGUGAGAGGCUCGGGACUAGCGAGACAGGCAGCUGCCUGCUGAGGAGAGGUGUGGCUGUGGAGGAUAUCAUGUCUUCUGAUCCUAACUUGCAGUAAUAAGCCCCUUUAAUCAUGAGUCUUACUUGUGAAUCCUGUGUGGCCCUUUCAUUAGAAUUUGAACCUGACAGGAAAGUAGAAUUAUAUUGGAGGAACAAUUGGUGUCAGAAUCGAGUAAAAGAGGGAUGAAGGGUGAAGGCCUGUCUGACGACAAUAGAGAAGUCAGAAGAGGUCCGAUACGGCCUCCACACAGCUUUCUCAGCCUUACUAAAUCUGAUAUAAGUGCCUUUGUUUUGCAGAAACUUAGUUCUGGAGAUAGAAGUGAUGUGCCCAAGGUCACACCAAGAGAAGUCAAACUCUGUCUAAAACUCUGUUGAAUGACCUACCGCCUCAUUGUUCAUCACAGCCUGAUGGCUUCUCUUGCUCUUGGGGUAGAAUAACAGAUGUGGAUUUUUGCAUUUUUAGAGUCUUUGGGAGGAGCCCUGGUAGUAUAGUGGGUUAUGUGUAGGGCAGUUAACUGCAAGGCCACUAUUUUGAGUCCACCAGGAGCUUCAUAGGAGAAAGAUGAGGCUUUCUACUCCCAUUCACAGUUACAGUCUUGGAAA